GAUGAAGAACGUAGCGAAAUGCGAUAAGUAAUGUGAAUUGCAGAAUUCAGUGAAUCAUCGAAUCUUUGAACGCACAUUGCGCCCCCUGGUAUUCCGGGGGGCAUGCCUGUCCGAGCGUCAUUACAACCCUCAAGCUCAGCUUGGUGUUGGGCCCCGCCGCCCCGGCGGGCCCUAAAGUCAGUGGCGGUGCCGUCCGGCUCCGAGCGUAGUAAUUCAUCUCGCUCUGGAGGUCCGGUCGUGUGCUCGCCAGCAACCCCCAAUUUUUUUCAGGUUGACCUCGGAUCAGGUAGGGAUACCCGCUGAACUUAAGCAUAUCAAUAAGCGGAGGA
This 329-nucleotide unclassified non-coding RNA is filed under the name soil metagenome. RNAcentral describes it as "partial contains 5.8S ribosomal RNA, internal transcribed spacer 2, and large subunit ribosomal RNA". The stretch from base 1 to 120 matches the Rfam family "5.8S ribosomal RNA", at positions 35 to 154 of the family's 154-position model. The record is from RNAcentral.